CCUACGGGUGGCAGCAGUCGGGAAUAUUGCGCAAUGGAGGAAACUCUGACGCAGUGACGCCGCGUGCAGGAAGAAGGUUUUCGGAUUGUAAACUGCUUUUAACAGGAAAGAAAAAAAUGACGGUACCUGUUGAAUAAGCUCCGGCUAACUACGUGCCAGCAGCCGCGGUAAUACGUAGGGAGCGAGCGUUAUCCGGAUUUAUUGGGUGUAAAGGGUGCGUAGACGGAAAUGCAAGUUAGUUGUGAAAUACCUCGGCUUAACUGAGGAACUGCAACUAAAACUAUAUUUCUUGAGUAUCGGAGGGGUUUGUGGAAUUCCUAGUGUAGCGGUGAAAUGCGUAGAUAUUAGGAAGAACACCGGUGGCGAAGGCGACAAACUGGACGAUAACUGACGUUGAGGCACGAAAGUGUGGGGAGCAAACAGGAUUAGAUACCCGAGUA
RNAcentral lists this ribosomal RNA (440 nucleotides) under uncultured bacterium. RNAcentral describes it as "bacterial SSU rRNA". It matches the Rfam family "Bacterial small subunit ribosomal RNA", at positions 338 to 792 of the family's 1533-position model. The record is from RNAcentral.